Molecule: ribosomal RNA, 253 nt
Filed under: uncultured bacterium
Lineage: Bacteria
Description: partial 16S ribosomal RNA
Rfam family: Bacterial small subunit ribosomal RNA
Source: RNAcentral
UACGGAGGGUGCAAGCGUUAUCCGGAUUCACUGGGUUUAAAGGGUGCGUAGGCGGUCAGAUAAGUCAGUGGUGAAAGCCCGUGGCUCAACCAUGGAAUUGCCAUUGAAACUGCCUGACUUGAAUAUAGUUGAAGUGGGCGGAAUACAUCAUGUAGCGGUGAAAUGCUUAGAUAUGAUGUAGAACACCGAUUGCGAAGGCAGCUCACUAAGCUAUCAUUGACGCUGAGGCACGAAAGCGUGGGUAGCGAACAGG